RNAcentral lists this ribosomal RNA (315 nucleotides) under uncultured Eubacterium sp. Its description in RNAcentral is "bacterial SSU rRNA". It matches the Rfam family "Bacterial small subunit ribosomal RNA", at positions 355 to 685 of the family's 1533-position model. The record is from RNAcentral. Lineage: Bacteria; Bacillati; Bacillota; Clostridia; Eubacteriales; Eubacteriaceae.
UGGGGAAUAUUGCACAAUGGGCGAAAGCCUGAUGCAGCAACGCCGCGUGAGGGGAGACGGUUUUCGGAUUGUAAACCUCUGUUUUCGGUGACGAACAAAUGACGGUAACCGAGUAGGAAGCCACGGCUAACUACGCGCCAGCAGCCGCGGUAAUACGUAGGUGGCAAGCGUUAUCCGGAAUUACUGGGUGUAAAGGGAGCGCAGGCGGGAUAGCAAGUCAGCUGUGAAAACUAUGGGCUCAACCCAUAAACUGCAGUUGAAACUGUUAUUCUUGAGUGGAGUAGAGGCAGGCGGAAUUCCCCGUGUAGCGGUGAA